AGAGUUUGAUCCUGGCUCAGGACGAACGCUGGCGGCGUGCCUGAAUACAUGCAAGUUGAACGAUGAUUUCUGGUACUUGUAUCAGGAUGAAGAGUAGCGAACGGGUGAGUAACGCGUGGGUAACCUACCUCUUAGCGGGGGACAACUAUUGGAAACGAUAGCUAAUACCGCAUAACAAUAUUAAACACAUGUUUAAUAUUUGAAAGUACCAAUUGGUACACUAGGAGAUGGACCCGCGUUGUAUUAGCUAGUUGGUAGUGUAAUGGACUACCAAGGCGAUGAUACAUAGCCGACCUGAGAGGGUGAUCGGCCACAUUGGGACUGAGACACGGCCCAAACUCCUACGGGAGGCAGCAGUAGGGAAUCUUCGGCAAUGGACGAAAGUCUGACCGAGCAACGCCGCGUGAGUGAAGAAGGUUUUCGGAUCGUAAAACUCUGUUGUUAGGGAAGAACGUUGUGUAGAGUGGAAAAUUACACAAGUGACGGUAUCUAACCAGAAAGGGACGGCUAACUACGUGCCAGCAGCCGCGGUAAUACGUAGGUCCCGAGCGUUGUCCGGAUUUAUUGGGCGUAAAGCGAGCGCAGGUGGUUUAAUAAGUCUGAUGUAAAAGGCAGUGGCUCAACCAUUGUGUGCAUUGGAAACUGUUAGACUUGAGUGCAGUAGAGGAGAGUGGAAUUCCAUGUGUAGCGGUGAAAUGCGUAGAUAUAUGGAGGAACACCGGUGGCGAAAGCGGCUCUCUGGACUGUAACUGACACUGAGGCUCGAAAGCGUGGGUAGCAAACAGGAUUAGAUACCCUGGUAGUCCACGCCGUAAACGAUGAGUGCUAGUUGUUUGGGGCUAUCCAGCCCUAAGUGACGCAGCA
RNAcentral lists this ribosomal RNA (864 nucleotides) under uncultured bacterium. RNAcentral's name for it is "bacterial SSU rRNA". It matches the Rfam family "Bacterial small subunit ribosomal RNA", at positions 8 to 853 of the family's 1533-position model. The record is from RNAcentral.